AGAGUUUGAUCCUGGCUCAGGACGAACGCUGGCGGCGUGCCUAAUACAUGCAAGUCGAGCGGGACUCUUCGGAGUCCAGCGGCGGACGGGUGAGUAACACGUGGGCAACCUGCCUGUAAGACUGGGAUAACACCGGGAAACCGGUGCUAAUACCGCAUAAUGUCUACGGACCAAAUGCGUAAGCAGCUUGAGGAGGGGGU
This 200-nucleotide ribosomal RNA is filed under the name uncultured bacterium. RNAcentral's name for it is "partial 16S ribosomal RNA". It matches the Rfam family "Bacterial small subunit ribosomal RNA", at positions 8 to 231 of the family's 1533-position model. The record is from RNAcentral.